UGGGGAAUAUUGCACAAUGGGCGCAAGCCUGAUGCAGCCAUGCCGCGUGUAUGAAGAAGGCCUUCGGGUUGUAAAGUACUUUCAGCGGGGAGGAAGGGAGUAAAGUUAAUACCUUUGCUCAUUGACGUUACCCGCAGAAGAAGCACCGGCUAACUCCGUGCCAGCAGCCGCGGUAAUACGGAGGGUGCAAGCGUUAAUCGGAAUUACUGGGCGUAAAGCGCACGCAGGCGGUUGAUUGAGUCAGAUGUGAAAUCCCCGGGCUUAACCCGGGAAUUGCAUCUGAUACUGGACAGCUAGAGUCUUGUAGAGGGGGGUAGAAUUCCAUGUGUAGCGGUGAAAUGCGUAGAGAUGUGGAGGAAUACCGGUGGCGAAGGCGGCCCCCUGGACAAAGACUGACGCUCAGGUGCGAAAGCGUGGGGAGCAAACAGG
RNAcentral lists this ribosomal RNA (429 nucleotides) under Chloroflexota bacterium. RNAcentral's name for it is "Chloroflexi bacterium partial 16S ribosomal RNA". It matches the Rfam family "Bacterial small subunit ribosomal RNA", at positions 355 to 776 of the family's 1533-position model. The record is from RNAcentral. Lineage: Bacteria; Bacillati; Chloroflexota.